RNAcentral lists this ribosomal RNA (403 nucleotides) under uncultured bacterium. RNAcentral describes it as "bacterial SSU rRNA". It matches the Rfam family "Bacterial small subunit ribosomal RNA", at positions 52 to 514 of the family's 1533-position model. The record is from RNAcentral.
CACAUGCAAGUCGCACGGUCAGCAAUGGCAGUGGCGGACGGGUGAGUAACACGUAGGAAUCUAUCCUGGGGUGGGGGACAACAGCGGGAAUCUGCUGCUAAUACCGCAUGAUACCUGAGGGUCAAAGGCGCAAGUCGCCUUGGAGGAGCCUGCGUCUGAUUAGCUUGUUGGUGGGGUAAAGGCCUACCAAGGCGACGAUCAGUAGCUGGUCUUGAGAGGAUGAUCAGCCACAUUUGUACUGAACACGGCCCAAACUCCACGGGAGGCAGCAUUGGGGAUAUUUGGACAAUGGGCAACCGAUCAGCAUGCCCGUGUUGUGAAGAAGGUCUUCCGGAUUGUAAGCACUUUUGCAAGGCCAUUAUACGGUACUUGCAAAUAAGCCCCGGUUUACUUUGGCCAGCAG